GUCUUUUUGAUAAUAAUUUAAAGUCUGACCUGCCCUAUGAUGUUAAUUAAAUGGCCGCGAUAAUUUGAUCGUGCAAAGGUAGCAUAAUAAUUAGUUUUUUAAUUGAGAACUGGAAUGAAAGGUCGAACGAGAAAAUUACUGUCUCAAUUUAAUUUAAAUUAGAAUUUUAUUUUUAAGUAAAAAAGCUUAAAUAAUUUUAAAAGACGAGAAGACCCUAUAGAGUUUUAUAUUUAUUAUAAUUAAUUUAAUUUUUAGAAUUUAAUUUUGAUAAUUUAUUUUAAAUAUUUGAUUGGGGUGAUUGAAAAAUUUAAAGAACUUUUUUUAAAAAUUUAACAUUGAUAUAUGAUUAAUUGAUCCAUAUUUAUAUGAUUAGAAGAUUAAAUUACCUUAGGGAUAACAGCGUAAUUUUUUUUGAGAGUUCAUAUCGAAAAAAAAGUUUGCGACCUCGAUGUUGGAUUAAAAUUAACUUUUGGUGUAGGAGCUAAAAAUGUUAGGUCUGUUCGACCUUUAAAAUUUUACA
This 520-nucleotide ribosomal RNA is filed under the name Onthophagus sp. BMNH677008. RNAcentral describes it as "partial 16S ribosomal RNA". The stretch from base 393 to 520 matches the Rfam family "Bacterial large subunit ribosomal RNA", at positions 2473 to 2600 of the family's 2925-position model. Lineage: Eukaryota; Metazoa; Arthropoda; Insecta; Coleoptera; Scarabaeidae. The record is from RNAcentral.